This 253-nucleotide ribosomal RNA is filed under the name uncultured bacterium. Its description in RNAcentral is "partial 16S ribosomal RNA". It matches the Rfam family "Bacterial small subunit ribosomal RNA", at positions 524 to 776 of the family's 1533-position model. The record is from RNAcentral.
GACAGAGGGUGCAAACGUUGUUCGGAAUUACUGGGCGUAAAGCGCGUGUAGGCGGCUAUGUAAGUCGGGCGUGAAAUCCCACGGCUCAACCGUGGAAGUGCACCCGAAACUGCGUAGCUAGAGUCCUGGAGAGGAAGGUGGAAUGCUUGGUGUAGAGGUGAAAUUCGUAGAUAUCAAGCGGAACACCGGUGGCGAAGGCGGCCUUCUGGACAGUGACUGACGCUGAGACGCGAAGGUCAGGGGAGCAAACGGG